This 6467-nucleotide long non-coding RNA is filed under the name Homo sapiens (human). RNAcentral's name for it is "non-protein coding lnc-NBEA-2:5". The record is from RNAcentral. Lineage: Eukaryota; Metazoa; Chordata; Mammalia; Primates; Hominidae.
GCAUUUGAAAAUGCUCUCCAGCUCUUGCCCUGUCAAGAAUGGAUUAGAGGGAAACAAUACUGGGUGCAAGGAGAAUGUCAAGGUACAUUUUCUUAUUUUAAAAAAUAGGAAAUGUCAUCCUUUGCUGUGCUUGUUACCCUUGAAUGAGAAGUGCUCAACUUCAAAAUGGAUCAUUCACUGAUACCAUGAUGACCAAUUAACAUCACUGGCCACCAAAGAGCUGUGGAAGAAAUCUCACUGCAGAGCUGACUUCUAUCCCUCCCGACGGUACAUGACCCUCCUUUAUUUCGACUCAGCUGUCACCUAAGCCUGUCAGGGAUCCAACAGCAUAUACCGGUCACAGCGCAUUGUUGAAUAAUACUCCUCAGGAAGUGUGCAGAUCCACCUUUUCCUUCAUCAUUUCAGACAGAAAACAGCAAAGUUCGUCUUAUUGAGGCAUCCAGUAAAGCUCCACAGAGAAAUCAUUCCCUCGUGUCUCUUCUGCACUCGGCCUUGGCAGGAUAAGAUGAAGAGGACGCAGUCCCUACCUCAGGCCUCCUCUCUUAGACCCUGGCCCAGCCUCCUCCACCAGGCUGUCCUCCAUCCUUCUCCUCAGGCCCCACCAGCUGCUGCUUGCUACAGCAUUCUCUUCAGGGAAGUCCUGAGGAUGCUGCCAGAAGAUACUGAACACCAAGGAGGGGACUCACUCACUGCCAACCACGACUUCCACAGAAAGCUUGGGAAUUGGGGAAUGGCAUGAUCAAAGCCUUGCUUUAUUAUGCAGAGCAAAUUUUUUUUUUUUGAGGGAGCAUUUGUGUGGAGAAUAGUGAGGAAGGGAACUAAGUGAUGAGAGCCUAAGUCAGAGCAAUGGCAGAAGAAAUUGAACAUAAUAGAACGGUUUAUGUUUGGUACCACACUUUGAAGGGUAAUGUAUGUUAUUUGUUCUUUAUCAUAGUCAACAACAAAUCUAGAUUUGCUUUAUGCACAGGAAGUAUUUAAUAUUAGUUAGGUUUAAUUUGAUUCAAUGCAUUUUAAGUUAACCAAUGAGCCCUAUUGAACUCAUAAGGAAACUAAAGCCGAGUAAGGUUAACUGACUUGCCCACAGUUAAAGGGUUGGAAAGUUUUGGAGCCAAGGGUGAAACCCAGGUCUCCUUAAUUCAAAAUCCAAGGCUUCAAUCAUGACACCAGUUGCCACAAAUCUGUGGCAUAUAUGGUGAUUCUAUUUCUUUGCCACCACAGACAUUGCUAAUCGAUUUCCUACGCAAGCUUGGAUAUGGCCUCAGAAUCCUUCCAAACACAGGGCUCCAGAGACCCACCUCAAAUCAACUUUUCUGUAUCCUGGCAGGAUAGCAUGCUCUCUCUCCAAGAUAAAGGAAGGAAAAUGGUAGAGGUGAUUUGCGGGCAGAAGCAUUAUCACUUGGCAGCUGUGGGCGUAGAUUGUGAGAAAGAGAAAAGGGUAGGCAUCAGGAAUGAUGAAGGAUGUAAGCCUGGGGGAUGAGGGGGAUGGUGACACUAAUUAACAGAAUAAUGGAACUGGAACAGAAGCAGAGCUGUAACAUGGUGAAUGUGGUCUUGAGGUGUUGUCCAGUUCUUAAGGCGGUGGGGGGUGCUGUGACAAUGACAGGUGAAGGCUGCUGCUUAUGGAAAGACACAGGCAGGGCCUCCUAACACUUCUAGCAAUUUCAGCCCCCGAAACAGUGACAACUGUGGAUCCUAAAGGCAUAUGUCCAAAAGAUGCUGGCCAAACAUUUCAGAAAAGAUGAAAUAAGGAGGUCUCAAAGUCCUGCUUUUCAAGACACUGCUAGGAAUCUUUUUGCAAAGCAAGAAAAUUCUUUUAUCAUUCAAACAAUUAAAUAAUAAUUAAAAUAAUUAAAUAUAAAUAAUUAAAAUUAAAAUUUUCAUACACCAGGUUUCAUUUCAGUGGGAAGAAUGGGGCAGGGAAAGAAAAUGGCUCUUCAGCAGCCUUCUCAGUGACAAUUAUAAACAAUUUCUGUAAAACUUCACACCCUAAAUGAAGCACCAAACCUGAAGUGCUUAAUCAAAACAAGAUGUUUUGAUUGAAAGAAAGCUUUGAUGAGUUGCUUCUAUCAAUUGCCCUUCAGCAUAAGAUUAGAAAUGCAAAGGCUUCUAUCAUCCCCAUGAUGUUCUUUAAACUUCAUUAUGUCAGGCACACAUGGCAAAUUAAACAGAAUGCUACAGAAAGUGUCUGGCCAUAAGAGGAGGCAGAGGCACUGCUUACAGAAACCUUGCUAGACAACUAAUUGAACAGUUUUCUAACCUCAGAACAGACGUGCUUUCUAUUAUUUAGCAUUUAAUAUGCUUCCUCUCUCUCUCUCAUUUCUUUUUACCUUUAGCUUGUUUCUUCCUAUUUCAUUGCCAUCUACUUUAUAAAUGUCUUGAUCAAAUUAUAAAGUUAUAACAUUAUACAGAUUCUAUUUGGUCCCAUAUGGCUAAUGUCAACCAGAGAGCCUUUAAUAUUUUCUAAGGAACAGGAUAUCAUAUUUAAUGCCCUCAAAACUAAUUUCAAGCUAAAAAAUGUUGAAGGCUAUACAUACACACACACACACACACGAAUGUUCUACAACAAGACUAUCCACCCCCUCCAAAGUCAAGCUUUGAUAUAUGCCCUAACAAAAUAAAAAAAAAAUUCAAAUAUGCUUUACAACAAACUACUAAAAACCACAGACCAACAUAAUUUCUUUAGAAGCAUAAAGUCACUUGUGAUCCAUAUGCCAAAAGCAUAACAAAAUGCAAAAAAAGCCCUUAAGUUCAUUGAUUGACCUAACAAUAUCAAUUUUUCUCUACACUUCAGUGAAUUAUAUACAUGAAAGAAUAUUUCGAUCUUAGGAAUUCUUCAUCUGGUUAGUUUUGUUUCCAGUGAAGCAAACAUCAAACAGGGUCUUAUAUGUUUAUGGAUAGGUACAAAUCCAUGGAAAAGAUUCCAAUUACUUUUUUUUUUUUAAAGUUUAAAGCUGUGUGUUAUGUGCAGAGGGGGUAGUACAAAGAGCUAUGGAUAUUCUAAACCAAAUAUUAAAACAGCAUUUCAAGCAGCUCAAAGUAUCAUACAACAUUUUCAGUAGUAAGGAAAUUUCACUCAGCAGCAAUAUUUUUAAUAGAAAAACUUUUUUGUUUUUGAGACAGAGUCUGACUUUGUUGCCCAGGCUGGAGUGCAGUGGCUCGAUCUUGGCCCACUGCAAUCUCCGCCUCCUGGGUUCAAGCUAUUCUCGUGCCUCAGCCGGGUGCCACCAUGCCCGGCUAAUUUUUGUAUUUUUAGUAGAGACGGGGUUUCACCGUGUUGGCCAGGCUGGUCUCGAACUCCUCACCACAGGUGAUCUGCUCGCCCCAACCUCCCAAAGUGCUGAGAUUACAGGCAUAAGCCACUGUGCCUGGCCUAAUAGAAAAAUCUUCUAAAGACUCUUUAACUGGGGACUUUAUCAAACAUUGCACUUGCUGCUCUGAUAAGAAAGAAGGGAGAUGGGGAAAGUGGUGGGUGCUGGAUGGCAUAUAGCUCCUUGUCUAUGUCCACCUCCUUCCCUUUUGCCUUUAGGAAAGAAGGGCUGGACAACGAUGGAGAGUCCUUGGGAGAGCCAGAAAGAUUUAUCUGGGCUAGCUGGUACAGUGAAGACCAAGCAAAGUGGGAAGCUUUUUGGUUUCCCAAAUUAGUCUCAAUGCUUUGCUCGGGCACGGACAGCAUGUACAGUAGGCAGCAAUCUGCAAAAUUGCAAAGGGGCAUUUUGGCUUUUUGCCCUUCUACUGUGAUUUCUGAAAUCUAGUCACCUUUUCUAAGGUACCCUCUUCCCCAUCUCUGCAACUCAUUCUGUUAUUUCCUCCAUGACAGUUGUCACAACCUGAAACUAUCUGUGCACUUAAUUGUCUGUUUUCUUAUUGUUUCCUACCCUAAUAGAUUGUCAUUUCCACCAGGGCAGGAGCCUGGCCUGUGCUGUUCACCUCUCAUCACCAGCACCUAGACUACUAAUGCCUGGCACAGAGUUGGCCUCAAUGAGAGGGUGUCAAAAGAUAAACGAACCCUUGCUUGCGCCUGGCCUCCUGUCCUCAACUUAUGUUACUGUGGCCUUAUGUUGCCUUGUGGUUAGUCAAAGACCCCCAUCAGUCUUACCCUCCAGCCAGCCAUUGCCAUUGGAUAAACAUUGUGUUUUCCACCCCCAGCUCCAGAGGUGGGCCUUGGUUGAGCUAAGCCAAUCACAGUUUUCUUCUGGCACAGUGUAGAGGUAGACAUGUGAUAUACUUUGAACUUUGUCUAUUCAGAGAAAUGCUCAGAAUUUUGUUCAAUGGUUGAGGAAAGAGAAGAUCCCACCCUAUCCCAGGAGCCAGGAGGCGCACAGCCCUGGGGGCUCUCAGUGGCCACCUCACUUCCACAAGGUCAAAGCCCAUGAGGUCAAAGCUCACACACAGAAGAUGACAAAGUCAAGAGAUUUUCAAAGACAGCAAGCCACAACUCUGAGACUUCAAAAUCCUCUGGCUCAAAUCAACCCCGAGGGCCACCUCUGAAUUUUCCACUUAGAUGAGUUAAUUUGUUCUCUUCCUUUUAAGACUGCCAGAGCCAGGCCAGGUGUGGUGGCUCACGCCUGUAUUCCCAGCGCAUUGGGAGGCCAAGGCGGGUGGAUCACUUGAGAUCAGGAGUUCGAGACCAGUCUGGCCAACAUGGUGAAACCCUGCCUCUACUAAAAAUCCAAAAAAAGUAGCCAGGUGUGGUGGUGUGGGACUGUGGGCUCCGUCUCAAAAAAAAAAAGACUGCCAGGGCGAGGAUUUCCUAAUUGAUACUCAUCCCAUCUGAAGUCCCAGUCGCCCAUUAUAUAUCUCGGCAAACUUUCAUUUAAUUAACAGAAUAAGCAUGAUCUUAAUGAGAUUUAUCUCUUGUGGACAGUAUUUUUACUUAAAAAUGGAAACAAACUGAUCCGAAUUUGUGUUUCAUUGUUAGAAUGUUUUUGAAAUGGAUGUGGAAUAGCAUUGUUCUUUUCCUCCCUCAGCCACCCACAUUGCUAGCUUCCAGGACCACUCUAUCCUGUUCCAAAUUACUGGAAUAAUCCAGACAGCAAAACAGAUAGAAACAGCAUUGCAACCACACAGCUUCCAGCUUCCUGCCUCAUCUUUAUAUGGGAGACUCUCAAGAACAGAAAAAAGUUUUAAAAAGUUUCCUAAAUUUAGGAAGUAGAUGCUUUCUAAUUUUCACUUUAUGGUUGGCCAAGUAUUUUCUUUUUUUUUUUUUUUAAAUAAAGGAAAACAGAACUAUAGCAAAGCCUAACAAUGUCUGUUAAAUGAAUAGAAAAUAGAAUGAGAACAAUUAAUAAGAAAUAAAUUUAAAGAGCUAUGAGAUUUCUGAGGAGAGAAUGGUUACUUCUGGUGUGAAGGGUUAGAAAGAUUUCACAGAAAUUGCAUUUGUGCUAGAUUUUGAUGGAUGGUAAAGAGCAACAGGCAACAGAGAUGAAAGGAGGGAAUGAAACCUUAAAUUAUGUCCAGGAAACUAGGAGUGGCCCAGUUAGACAUGAACACAGGAGAUGUGUUGGUUGGGGGAAGAAGUUACAGAUAAAGUCUGGAAAUGCAGUUUGAGAGCAGACUUGGAGAACUCUGAAACCCUCAAGUCAACUGGCUCAGGGGAAAUCACUGAAGAGUUAUUAGCAAUACAAUGACAUGGCCAGGGUGAGUUGUAGGACACCUUGGUUUGGCAGUGGCCUGAAGCAUGGUCCAGAAGUCACAGAGACCUAAAUUGGGAUACAGAGUGUGAAACUUGAUUAUGCAAAUUGAGCCAUUCUUAUCAUACCCAACUAAGCCAGAGUCGAGGGCCCGGAGUCAGGUGGUAAGCACUCAGGACACAGCAUCUGCUCCAAGAAUUGACUUUUCUGCAAGCCCAGCUGCUAAAAUGGCAAGCUGUAACCUUAAAAACAGUGUCACCUAGUAGCUGCUGAAACGACCCGCCAUGACUCCAAGACUGGUUUUUCCUACCACCAUCACUGACACCCACUAAUCAGAACUUGCCAGCUCCCAGAAGUUUCUCUAGUGCCAGUGAGCUUUCUUCCACAACAAUAUGUAACAUUUCUUUUAUUCAUUUUCCUUUAUUUAUUUGAGACAGGGUCUCAGUCUAUCACCCAGGCUGGAAUGCAGUGCUGCAAUCAUGGCUCACUGCUCACUUGACCUCUCGGACUCAAGUGAGCCUCCCACCUCAGCCUCUGAAGCAGCUGGGACAACAGGUGUGCUCUGCCACACCUGGCUAAUUUAAAUUUUUUUUGUAGAGACAGGUUCUUGCUAUGUUUUCCAGGCUGGUCUCGAACUCCUGGCCUCAAGUGAUCCUCUCACCUUAGCCUUCCAAAGCGCUAGGAUUACAGGCCUAAGCCACUGUCCCUGGCCCACAUUUCUCUUUAUAAUAAAACUCCCAAGCUUCCCUUUUUCAGACAUACCAAAGCCCACCUCAGUCUGUGUGUAUGCCCCAAAUUGCUAUUCUGUGAUUCCCAAAUAAAACAUUUAAUUUAGAG